Molecule: small nucleolar RNA, 108 nt
Filed under: Erinaceus europaeus (western European hedgehog)
Lineage: Eukaryota; Metazoa; Chordata; Mammalia; Eulipotyphla; Erinaceidae
Description: Small nucleolar RNA SNORA3/SNORA45 family (ENSEEUG00000022787.1)
Rfam family: Small nucleolar RNA SNORA3/SNORA45 family
About the family: The members of this family belong to the H/ACA class of snoRNAs which are thought to guide the sites of modification of uridines to pseudouridines. This family includes mouse snoMBI-28 and human homologues ACA3 (SNORA3) and ACA3-2 (SNORA45).
Source: RNAcentral
AUCAAGGUUAGAUUCUGUUGCCUUAGUGUGCUAGAGUCCUCGAAGAGAUGACUUUAUUCACUGGCUGUGGCCCUCAUGGCAUAGUCAGUCACCAGGUUAGUGACAUGU